AGGACAUAACAAAAAGAAAAAAGGGAGAUCCAGUAUUUGCCACAGAUCUGCAGUGACAAAAUGGGAUGGGGAAGGAGAUGAUGGCAGAAAGGCAAGAUGGAUGAAGUGCUCUGCAGCUCUGCCAGAGGAUGCAGCAGUGGGUCACUGACACACGCAGCUCACAAAGUAUCGCCCAUAAUGUGCAGCAGCUAGUUUUCUAAAAUUACUUCUGCAGCACCAGCCAGAUUUGCAGUCACUUUUCUGAAGAUUGGAACAUAAGUGUCACCAGGCUACCAGAGGGGCCUGGCAGUGGCAAUGACAGGAAAAGCAAUAAAAUGCUCCCGUGGCAGAUGUCUGUGUUCGGGUGUCCUGAGAGCAGAGCUGCUGCUUCUCCAGAGAAGAGGAAACUUCCCAGUGCAGGAACAGUCACUCUGCAGGAGGGGGUCUGAGGCGUCUGGACGCUGACACCAAAGGUUUUAAAGCCAUAAAUACUUCAGGGUGACCUAAUUGUGACUUUUCAGCACCUGAAGGAGCUGAUGAAAAAGAUGGAGAGAGGGUUUACAAGAGCCUGGAGGGAGAGGACAGGAGGGAAUGGCUUCACACUGCCAGAGG
Zonotrichia leucophrys gambelii is the source of this 591-nucleotide long non-coding RNA. RefSeq lists it as uncharacterized. The transcript is spliced from 3 exons. The record is from RefSeq and is a predicted model, not a curated record. NCBI's taxonomy places the organism in Eukaryota, Metazoa, Chordata, Aves, Passeriformes, Passerellidae.